This is a long non-coding RNA of Trichechus manatus latirostris (Florida manatee), 728 nucleotides long. RefSeq lists it as uncharacterized. NCBI's taxonomy places the organism in Eukaryota, Metazoa, Chordata, Mammalia, Sirenia, Trichechidae. The transcript is spliced from 2 exons. The record is from RefSeq and is a predicted model, not a curated record.
ACUCUGUCCUAUAGGGUCACAUGAGUCAGAAUCGACUCGACGGCAAGUUAGUUUUUUUUUUUUGUCUUGUAGUUAUGUAAAAUGAUUUUCCAUAAGUAGCAGUAAUAGUGUUUCCUUUGGAGUCCCUAGGUGGUGCAAAAGGUUUACAUGCUCGGAUGCUAAUCAAAAGGUUGGAUGUUUGAGCCUCGGAAGAAAGGCCUGGCAAUCUACUUCUGAAAAAUCAGCCAUUGAAAACCCUAUGUAGCUCAGUUCUGACACACAAGGGUCACCAUGAGUUGGAAAUGACAGCAACCGGUUUAUAUGGUUUCCAUUAUAUAAAAAGCAAUUUGAUAAAAAAAAAAAAUUUAGUACAGGUAGUACAAAAAAAUCAUGAAAAUAAUACAUUAACAAUUAACCUCUGAAAAUCACUGCAAUAAAGCCAAAAUAGGUGUUAAUGAUUAUAGAAACAGGUUUUUUUAAUAAAACAAAAGCUUCACCAUUAUCCACUCUUUUAAUUUUUUUUUCCUUUUCCCUGACUUUACAGCUAACCAAGAGCGAGACAAAGUCAAACGUUACUACUCUCUUCAGUAUCCAGAGUGGCCGAUAUACUUACGUAACAGAUACACCUCUCUCUUUCUCAUUGUUAGUCCAUUAAUUCAUAUACUGACUGUUAUAAUUACCAUUUUGAUCAAACACAAAUAUCCUAACUUAGUUCUUUUGGAAUAAUACAAUCCAAACAAAAAAAAAAA